Molecule: long non-coding RNA, 419 nt
Organism: Lolium rigidum
Lineage: Eukaryota; Viridiplantae; Streptophyta; Magnoliopsida; Poales; Poaceae
Exons: 3
Source: RefSeq, a predicted model, not a curated record
AUGGUGAAUGAUGUAAAGACUAUUGAGGGGGGUAGAAGUAAUACAUAUAAGACAUCAGGGCUCUGUACUAAUAAGAUGAGAUAAGAUGGGGCAUGUGUUUUGCAUCUACAUUGUCGUGGACUAAUGCCAUGGAGAGUCGAAAAUGCAAAAAGAUAUGCAUUACUACUUGAUGUUUGAGUUUAUAGGGAGAGGUUCGUUCGGCUCGGAUGGUAAUUUUAUUUGCGAUUGACCUGCUGUUGAUGCGCGGUAUGCCUCUGGGCCUUGGGCGAGGAAGGCAUAGCAUGUCUGUUGCUCUCUGCGCAUUGCGUCGUCGUGUUCGCUUAGUUCAGCAUCGCCUUCUAUUAUUGGCUCUGUGGUUGAUCAUUAGUCCACUCUGUAUGUUGAUCCUGCUAGUGGAUUCUUCUGCUGAUAAGGAUGCU